RNAcentral lists this long non-coding RNA (2449 nucleotides) under Nicotiana benthamiana. RNAcentral's name for it is "long non-coding RNA (NBEN_LNC016687)". Lineage: Eukaryota; Viridiplantae; Streptophyta; Magnoliopsida; Solanales; Solanaceae. The record is from RNAcentral.
CUAAUUUCUUUUCUCUCUACCCGCUGCCCUUGAAUCCCCUUCCUCAUCCAUUCUCUCUGCACACCAUAAUCGCCGCCACCCAAGCUCACCCUAAUCCCUUCGAUUCUCGCCGAUUUCUAUAGCUUCUCAAGACAUGAAACCCUCAAACUCACCUCCUAUCGUUCUUUUGUGCUUGGUGUUUGAAGGUUUGAGGCUAGACCUCAAAGGUCUCCACCCAGAUCUCCACAGACUUGAGAUUUCUGGUCAUCUCCGUCCUGGCUCAGACAUAUCUUAGCCUCCUGAACCUAUUUCUAGUCUUAUCUGACUUAAUCGGACAUUUUCAAAGUCUUUCUUGUUCUAGGGUUCGCCUGAAACCCUAGCUAUUCAAGGUUUUUUCUUCUCCGAUUCUCCUCAGAUCUGUGUGUAUUCAUGCUUUACUUUGAGUUUUUAAAAGGUUUCCCCAACUUUUUUUAUAAAAUUCUUUUUCUUUCAAAGUCAUUUCUUAAUGAUUUAGGUUUUUAGAAAUGCUUAUGUGUUUUUCGAUUUUUCUUCUCCCUUUCGUGUAUGUUUGUCUCUGCCAUGUUCAUAUGUUUACUUCUUUUUUUACACAUGUUCUUCCACUACGUUUGCUAUAUUUUGUUCUACCUUCUACUAUGUUUCAGUGCUAUGUUUUUCAUAUGCUAUGUUUCUGUGCUAUGUUUUCACAUGCUAUGUUCUGCAACUUGUCUUCCACCACGACAUGAUAAGCUUCGCCUACUGUAUUUUCCUACCAUGUUCAUUAAUUGCUCUUACUAUGCCUGCUUAAGCAUAAUUUCAUCUACUAUUCUUCUACUCCCAUUGUAUUUCGAAUUAAUUCCUUAACUCUGUUUGCAUUAAACCUUCUACUGUAUCUGCUUGUUUCCUUUUCUUCGCAUUUGAUUCAAGUCAAAAACCCUAAGAUUUGGGGUUUUUGGCGAGUUUGGUCUUGUGUGUUUGGACUAGGGUUCUAUUUGAGGCCUGGACUCUCUCUAACUCACUUUGGAUCUACAUACUGAGUUUGAAUCCUUUUGCGUAUGAAUUCUACUAUACUAGGCUCCUCUGAUUAGAAUGAAAACCCUUGCAAAUGUGUUAAAAUCUUCAUUCAAAAGGUCUUCCAACUUGUGUUCAAAUCAGAAUCCUUUUUUCUGGGUUAAUUGAUUGCUAUUGAUUCUUCUUAAAUUAAACCUUUUCCACCUUUCUAGCUUGGUUCAUUGAUACAAAUCUUUGAUUCCUGAUUUCUUGGUUGAUUUUCUUUCCUUAUUUGUUUAACCAUAUGUUUUAAAAUUUCUUGCCUUAAAUAAUCUUUAUAUAUUUACCCCUAAUUGCCUACCUUGAACAAGAUGCUUACUUAAUCUCUUUCCUUAAAUAUUCUUUUGUUCAUUAGCGUUUAAGUUUGAACUCCUUAAUUAAAGAAAGUUCUUCUGCUAAUUAAUUCUAAUUGGUAUAUGGUAAUUUCCUUGCCUUAUUCCCUACCUGAUAUCAAACUAUAAAUACCUGCUCUUUUAUUAACACAGAUACCAAUACUCGUAGUUUUCUGAACUCACUCUUACACUCAAAAAGUAUUCUCUUUGUUGCAUGUAUUGUGGCUUCUUUGCAAGAUUUCUGCUUUCUUUUGCUUAUCUCUUUCUGAAACCAGUAUGUCCUAGUUUAAUUCGAGCAUCAACUCUAAUGUAUUUACUUACCAGUUCUUAUGUCCAUGCUUACUUUACUGCCUGUAGAAUAUAACUUUGUGGUAAUGUGCUUAUGUCUUUCAAUAAAUCCCUUUCCCAUAUCCCUCUAUGUAUUUGAACUGUAGUUUAAAAAUGGAAAUAUACAAGGUUAUUGUCCAUGGAUAUAAACUGGAUCCUUGGGGUCCUAAGCUCUUUCCAUUUCCCAAAACAUAUUUCCUUAUAUGUGUUCAAGUUAAGAUUUAGCCUGGCAGCAUCCAAAAUGAUGUCUGGGGCUGAAUCUGACCUUCAAUAGGUUCUUACUCUCUAAAUCUUUUAGCCACCAUGGUGUUCAAGGGUGUGCUAACAGUCCAGUUGCUGGGCAUGACCACUAGCCUGCUUGGCAAUCCCUAAUUCCCUCUAUUGCACUUACACCUACUCUUAAACUCUAAGUUCUACCCCCCCCCCUUCUAUGAGCCUUGCCUUGGGACUUUCUGAACUUUGACAUUGGAGGUCUGGCACUUCCACACUGCACUCUAAUUCAAUUAUGUAAUGAUAUCUGGGUGUAAGGAUUGCCUGGAGUUCUUGAAACUCCUUGGAACUUUGACACACUCCAGAUAAGAGGGAUGUUUUGGAACCCGAUCCCGGAAUUUGGUUCAUCUCAUAUUAUUAGACCUUGAGUAUGAAUUAGGCACCUUGGAUGUAGCUUAAAUUUCUUUAUAUAAUUCUAUUUUCUAUUUGAUUCACUUAGUCUGUAAUAAUUUGUAAUAACUUAUGGGGUUUUAGUAAAGAAAAGGGAAGGGCCA